GUAAUACAUCGGAACGUGUCUUCUAGUGGGGGAUAACUGCCCGAAAGGGCAGCUAAUACCGCAUGAGACCUGAGGGUGAAAGCGGGGGGAUCGCAAGACCUCGCGCUGGAAGAGCGGCCGAUGUCCGAUUAGCUAGUUGGUGAGGUAAAGGCUCACCAAGGCGACGAUCGGUAGCUGGUCUGAGAGGACGACCAGCCACACUGGGACUGAGACACGCCCAG
Molecule: ribosomal RNA, 221 nt
Filed under: uncultured bacterium
Lineage: Bacteria
Description: partial 16S ribosomal RNA
Rfam family: Bacterial small subunit ribosomal RNA
Source: RNAcentral